GUACACGCUGUGACUAGCAUAUCAAUAAGCGGAGGAAAAGAAACUAACAAGGAUUCCCCUAGUAACGGCGAGUGAAGCGGGAAGAGCUCAAAUUUGAAAUCUUAAAGGGUUUCCCUUUACGAAUUGUAGUUUAAAGAAGUGUUUUCUGUUGAGGUUUUGGUAAAAGUUCUUUGGAAUAGGACAUCAUAGAGGGUGAGAAUCCCCGUAUUUGACCUUUACUUUCAACUUUGUGAUACACUUUCAAAGAGUCGGAUUGUUUGGGAAUGCAGUCCAAAAUGGGUGGUAAAUUUCAUCUAAAGCUAAAUAUUGGCGAGAGACCGAUAGCGAACAAGUACCGUGAGGGAAAGAUGAAAAGAACUUUCGAAAAGAGAGUUAAACAGUACGUGAAAUUGUCAAAAGGGAAGCGUUUGACACCAGUGUUGUUUUUCUGAAAAUCAAUUAAAGAACUGUUUAUGCUAAGCUUGUUUAGACUUUAUCAGCUAACUGUUUAGUUUUGAGCUUUUCUUUAAUGCACUUUUCAGUUAACAAGUCAACAUCAAUUUCUUUUGCUGUAAAAAAGCUUGAGGAAGGUGGCUUGAGAUUCGUCUUAAGUGUUUAUAGCCUCUUGCCUAUGCAGUCGGAGAGAUUGAGGUCUGCAGCGUAGAUCCUUCGGGGCUAAAUGCAUUUGUGCUAAGUUAUAGCAUUUUAUAGACAACUUGUUGACUAUGAUUUGUCUUGUAGCUUACUCGCUUAUGUUAUUUUACCUACGCUUAGGAUGUUGACUGAUAUGUAGUCGUA
RNAcentral lists this ribosomal RNA (777 nucleotides) under uncultured Neocallimastigales. Its description in RNAcentral is "partial large subunit ribosomal RNA". It matches the Rfam family "Eukaryotic large subunit ribosomal RNA", at positions 22 to 644 of the family's 3401-position model. Lineage: Eukaryota; Fungi; Neocallimastigomycota; Neocallimastigomycetes; Neocallimastigales. The record is from RNAcentral.